Molecule: ribosomal RNA, 429 nt
Filed under: Gemmatimonadota bacterium
Lineage: Bacteria; Pseudomonadati; Gemmatimonadota
Description: Gemmatimonadetes bacterium partial 16S ribosomal RNA
Rfam family: Bacterial small subunit ribosomal RNA
Source: RNAcentral
UAGGGAAUCUUCUGCAAUGGACGAAAGUCUGACCGAGCAACGCCGCGUGAUUGAAGAAGGUUUUCGGAUCGUAAAACUCUGUUGUUAGAGAAGAACAAGGACGUUAGUAACUGAACGUCCCCUGACGGUAUCUCACCAGAAAGCCACGGCUAACUACGUGCCAGCAGCCGCGGUAAUACGUAGGUGGCAAGCGUUGUCCGGAUUUAUUGGGCGUAAAGCGAGCGCAGGCGGUUUCUUAAGUCUGAUGUGAAAGCCCCCGGCUCAACCGGGGAGGGUCAUUGGAAACUGGGAGACUUGAGUGCAGAAGAGGAGAGUGGAAUUCCAUGUGUAGCGGUGAAAUGCGUAGAUAUAUGGAGGAACACCAGUGGCGAAGGCGGCUCUCUGGUCUGUAACUGACGAUGAGGCUCGAAAGCGUGGGGAGCAAACAGG